RNAcentral lists this ribosomal RNA (393 nucleotides) under uncultured bacterium. Its description in RNAcentral is "partial 16S ribosomal RNA". It matches the Rfam family "Bacterial small subunit ribosomal RNA", at positions 523 to 918 of the family's 1533-position model. The record is from RNAcentral.
AUACGGAGGAUGCAAGCGUUAUCCGGAUUUAUUGGGUUUAAAGGGUGCGUAGGCGGUUUGCUAAGCGGGAGGUGAAAUGCCGGCGCUCAACGUCGGAAGUGCCUCCCGAACUGGUGGACUGGAAUGACUCUGCCGUGGGCGGAAUGUGUAGUGUAGCGGUGAAAUGCUUAGAGAUUACACAGAACACCGAUUGCGAAGGCAUCUCACGAAGGGUUGAUUGACGCUGAGGCACGAAAGCGUGGGGAUCAAACAGGAUUAGAUACCCUGGUAGUCCACGCAGUAAACGAUGAUGGCUAACCGCUGGGCUUAUCAGUUCAGUGGCCAAGCGAAAGCGAUAAGCCAUCCACCUGGGGAGUACGACCGCAAGGUUGAAACUCAAAUGAAUUGACGGGG